This 783-nucleotide ribosomal RNA is filed under the name uncultured archaeon. Its description in RNAcentral is "bacterial SSU rRNA". It matches the Rfam family "Archaeal small subunit ribosomal RNA", at positions 83 to 876 of the family's 1478-position model. The record is from RNAcentral.
CGGCUCAGUAACACGUAGCUAACCUACCCUUAAGUCAGGGAUAUCCUCGGGAAACUGAGGUUAAUACCUGAUAGAAGACAUGCCCUGGAACGACUUGUCUUUUAAACUCGUGCUUAAGGAAGGGGCUGCGGUGGAUUAGCUUGUUGGCGGGGUAAUGGCCCACCAAGGCGAUGAUCCAUAGGGGCUCUUAGCGGAGAGGCCCCGAGAGGAAAUCUGAGACACUAUUUCCAGCCCUACGGGGUGCAGCAGUUAGGAAUAAUCUACAAUGCGCGAAAGCGUGAUAGUUUGAGCCAGAGUGAUUCUCAUUGAGAAUCUUUUAUGGAAUGUAAAAAGUUCCAGGAAUAAGGACUGGGUAAGACUAGUGCCAGCCGCCGCGGUAAUACUAGCGGUCCAAGUCGCAGCCAUUUUUAUUGGGUCUAAAACAUCCGUAGCUUGCUAUGUAAGUCCCUUGUGAAAUCCCACGUCUCAAACGUGGGUCGUGCAAGGGGUACUGCAUAGCUAGAGACUGGGAGACGUAAGCAGUACGCUCGAAGUAUCGGUAAAAUGAGUUAAUCUCGGACGGACUCACAAUAGCGAAGGCAGCUUACGAGAACAGUUCUGACAGUAAGGGAUGAAAGCUAGGGGCGCAAAACGGAUUAGAUACCCGUGUAGUCCUAGCAGUAAACACUGCACACUAAACAUCGGUACCUCCUCGAGAGGUAUCGGUGCUGCAGAGAAGUCGAAGAGUGUGCUACCUGGGAAGUAUAGUCGCAAGGCCGAAACUUAAAGGAAUUGGCGGGGGAG